GCCCGAAUAGUUUAAACAAAACACCGGUCUUGUAAACCGAAACUGAAGACUGACACAUUCUUCGGGCA
Molecule: transfer RNA, 68 nt
Filed under: Echinotriton andersoni (Ryukyu spiny newt)
Lineage: Eukaryota; Metazoa; Chordata; Amphibia; Caudata; Salamandridae
Description: transfer RNA-Thr
Rfam family: tRNA
About the family: Transfer RNA (tRNA) molecules are approximately 80 nucleotides in length. Their secondary structure includes four short double-helical elements and three loops (D, anti-codon, and T loops). Further hydrogen bonds mediate the characteristic L-shaped molecular structure. tRNAs have two regions of fundamental functional importance: the anti-codon, which is responsible for specific mRNA codon recognition, and the 3' end, to which the tRNAs corresponding amino acid is attached (by aminoacyl-tRNA synthetases). tRNAs cope with the degeneracy of the genetic code in two manners: having more than one tRNA (with a specific anti-codon) for a particular amino acid; and 'wobble' base-pairing, i.e. permitting non-standard base-pairing at the 3rd anti-codon position.
Source: RNAcentral